Molecule: long non-coding RNA, 858 nt
Filed under: Manihot esculenta (cassava)
Lineage: Eukaryota; Viridiplantae; Streptophyta; Magnoliopsida; Malpighiales; Euphorbiaceae
Description: long non-coding RNA (MESC_LNC006209)
Source: RNAcentral
AUUCUUUUGGUAUUGUCCUUUUGGAGCUUAUUACCGGCGGAAGAAAUAAAGAUACCGUGAAUUGGGUAAGCUCUAAUACUAAACAAUAUAAAUAAGGCAUGAGCUAGAGGAUUAAAGCACGAAUACUCACUUCAUUAAUUAAAAUAAGAUACUAUCAUAGUUAAAUAUAGAGUAGAGUAUUAUAGUACUAUUCGGACAACACUAAUAGUUUAACUGUUUUAGCAGUGGAUAGUGGAUGGUUGUUCAGUGGUUAAUCAAACUUUAUAAUAAAUAAUUUUUCGUAAUUUACUCAAUCAAUCAUUAAAUACUAGUGUUUUGAUUCAGUUAAUAUUAAACAUUAUUUUUAAAAUUAUUGCUGAACAGAGUUUAUAUCUCAACUUUGAAAUCUAAAAUAAUUGAGUUCAAUAACUAUUAAAAUGUAAGAUGAAAUGAACAUUAAACUAAGCAAGAAAUAGAACAAUCCAAGGUGAUUCUCAGCUUAGAUGAUAAAAUCAGCUGCAGCCUUCAGUGUUCCUUCAACCUGUGGUUGCAACCUUCAGUGUUUCUUCAACCUGUGGUCUUAUACGGCUGCAAACACAAGCUUUUAAUAGUUGAAGUAGUCAUUUAUAAAAAAUUACUUUAUUUUUAAUAUUUGAUUAACUGCUAAUUGAAUAAUUAUCUGCUAGUAAAAUUAUUAAUAACUACUGCAAUAACUAUUAUUGCAAAACAGGACCUAUAUGUUCAUAUUUCAAUUAAUAAAAUAGCAUGACUAUUUCAUCUUUAAUUCAUUUACAUUUAUCACUAUAUUUUUCCAAUUAAUUUGAUUCAUUAAAAUCAAAAUAAUAAAUAAAAAAGUGUUAUACAACAAUAUACCAGUAC